This 1071-nucleotide ribosomal RNA is filed under the name uncultured bacterium. RNAcentral's name for it is "bacterial SSU rRNA". It matches the Rfam family "Bacterial small subunit ribosomal RNA", at positions 36 to 1099 of the family's 1533-position model. The record is from RNAcentral.
UUGGCCAUUCGGGGGGCUACCAUGCAAGCCGAGCGGGAUUUGUUGGUUAGCUUGCUAACUGAUGAUGAGAGCGGCGUACGGGUGCGUAACAUGUGUGCAAUCUGCCCUUAUCAAGGGGAUAGCCCGGAGAAAUCCGGAUUAAUACCCUAUAAUAUAUGGGAUGGCAUCAUAUCAUAUUGAAAGCAUUAGCGGAUAAGGAUGAGCACGCACAAGAUUAGCUAGUUGGUAAGGUAACGGCUUACCAAGGCGAUGAUCUUUAGGGGUCCUGAGAGGGAGAUCCCCCACACUGGGACUGAGACACGGCCCAGACUCCUACGGGAGGCAGCAGUGAGGAAUAUUGGACAAUGGGUGUAAGCCUGAUCCAGCCAUCCCGCGUGAAGGAAGACGGUUCUAUGGAUUGUAAACUUCUUUUAUACAGGGAUAAACCUACCCUCGUGAGGGUAGCUGAAGGUACUGUAUGAAUAAGCACCGGCUAACUCCGUGCCAGCAGCCGCGGUAAUACGGAGGGUGCAAGCGUUAUCCGGAUUUAUUGGGUUUAAGGGGUCCGUAGGCGGGCUGAUAAGUCAGUGGUGAAAUCCUGCAGCUUAACUGUAGAACUGCCAUUGAUACUGUUAGUCUUGAGUAUAUUUGAAGUAGCUGGAAUAAGUAGUUGUAGCGGUGAAAUGCAUAGAUAUUACUUAGAACACCAAUUGCGAAGGCAGGUUACUAAGAUAAGACUGACGCUGAGGGACGAAAGCGUGGGGGAGCGAACAGGAUUAGAUACCCUGGUAGUCCACGCUGUAAACGAUGCUGACUCGUUUUUGGGUUUUAUGGAUCAGAGACUAAGCGAAAGUGAUAAGUCAGCCACCUGGGGAGUACGACCGCAAGGUUGAAACUCAAAGGAAUUUGACGGGGGCCCGCACAAGCGGUGGAUUUAUGGUGGUUUAAUUCGAUGAUACGCGAGGAACCUUACCAAGACUUAAAUGGAAUUGACAGCUGUAGAAAUACGGUUUCUUCGGACAAUUUUCAAGGUGCUGCAUGAUGUCGUCAGCUCGUGCCGUGAGGUGUUAGGUUAAGUCCUGCAACGAGCGC